UAACGCGUGAGCAGCCUUUCCCAGACAGGGGAAUAACACACCGAAAGGUGUACUAAUACCGCAUAAGACCACGGGAUCACAUGGUUCUGGGGUAAAAGAUUUAUCGGUUUGGGGUGGGCUCGCGUCCGAUUAGGUAGUUGGUGAGGUAACGGCCCACCAAGCCGGCGAUCGGUAGCCGACCUGAGAGGGUGAUCGGCCACAUUGGGACUGAGACACGGUCCAAACUCCUACGGGAGGCAGCAGUGGGGAAUAUUGGGCAAUGGAGGAAACUCUGACCCAGCAACGCCGCGUGGAGGAAGAAGGUUUUCGGAUCGUAAACUCCUGUCCUUGGAGACGAGUAGAAGACGGUAUCCAAGGAGGAAGCCCCGGCUAACUACGUGCCAGCAGCCGCGGUAAUACGUAGGGGGCAAGCGUUGUCCGGAAUAAUUGGGCGUAAAGGGCGCGUAGGCGGCUCGGUAAGUCUGGAGUGAAAGUCCUGCUUUUAAGGUGGGAAUUGCUUUGGAUACUGUCGGGCUUGAGUGCAGGAGAGGUUAGUGGAAUUCCCAGUGUAGCGGUGAAAUGCGUAGAGAUUGGGAGGAACACCAGUGGCGAAGGCGACU
RNAcentral lists this ribosomal RNA (599 nucleotides) under uncultured bacterium. RNAcentral's name for it is "bacterial SSU rRNA". It matches the Rfam family "Bacterial small subunit ribosomal RNA", at positions 111 to 726 of the family's 1533-position model. The record is from RNAcentral.